GAACGUCAUUGGUCAUCCUCGUCGAGUUUUUGGCCGUUUUGCAGGUAAGCUUAUUGGCAUCACAAAUGUUGAUGUAAGCUACCUAGUACAUUGCUACGCUCGUUGGCGUCAUCGCUGAGACCGCCUCGCACUCGUCGCUGAGGUCCAUCAGCUCUCGGAGGUCAACCUCUUCGCGCCUUGGAGUCCUCUGCUGCAUUGGCUCACCUGCAUUCAUGACUUGUUUUUGUUUGUUUGAGUUCAAUAAAGUAAUAACUAUAGUCAUAA
Molecule: long non-coding RNA, 264 nt
Organism: Drosophila mojavensis
Lineage: Eukaryota; Metazoa; Arthropoda; Insecta; Diptera; Drosophilidae
Exons: 2
Source: RefSeq, a predicted model, not a curated record